UAAGGAAUAUUGGUCAAUGGAGGCAACUCUGAACCAGCCAUGCCGCGUGCAGGAAGAAGGCCCUAUGGGUCGUAAACUGCUUUUGAACAAGAGAAAACCCCGGUACGUGUACUGGGUUGAUAGUAUUGUUAGAAUAAGCAUCGGCUAACUUCGUGCCAGCAGCCGCGGUAAGACGAAGGAUGCAAGCGUUAUCCGGAUUCAUUGGGUUUAAAGGGUGCGUAGGCGGACUGAUAAGUCAGUGGUGAAAUCUCUCGGCUUAACCGAGAAACUGCCAUUGAUACUGUUAGUCUAGAGUACAGAUGAUGUGGGCGGAAUAUGACAUGUAGUGGUGAAAUACUUAGAUAUGUCAUAGAACACCGAUUGCGAAGGCAGCUCACAAAACUGUGACUGACGCUGAGGCACGAAAGUGCGGGGAUCAAACAGGAUUAGAUACCCUCGUAGUCCCUGAGCGGGCUGGCAAGGCGCAU
RNAcentral lists this ribosomal RNA (467 nucleotides) under uncultured bacterium. Its description in RNAcentral is "bacterial SSU rRNA". It matches the Rfam family "Bacterial small subunit ribosomal RNA", at positions 355 to 825 of the family's 1533-position model. The record is from RNAcentral.